CACGCCGUAAACGAUGUCUACCAGUCGUUGGGUCUUUUAAAGACUUAGUGACGCAGUUAACGCAAUAAGUAGACCGCCUGGGGAGUACGGCCGCAAGGUUAAAACUCAAAUGAAUUGACGGGGGCCCGCACAAGCGGUGGAGCAUGUGGUUUAAUUCGAUGCAACGCGAAGAACCUUACCUGGUCUUGACAUAGUGAGAAUCUUGCAGAGAUGCGAGAGUGCCUUCGGGAAUUCACAUACAGGUGC
RNAcentral lists this ribosomal RNA (246 nucleotides) under uncultured Moraxella sp. RNAcentral's name for it is "partial 16S ribosomal RNA". It matches the Rfam family "Bacterial small subunit ribosomal RNA", at positions 796 to 1041 of the family's 1533-position model. Lineage: Bacteria; Pseudomonadati; Pseudomonadota; Gammaproteobacteria; Moraxellales; Moraxellaceae. The record is from RNAcentral.